CUGGGAACACAAGAAAAAAUGUUACAUUUGCCUACAGUCAAUAACCAACCUCAAUAGUGUCAAUUGAUUUGAUGAAAGCCUCUUCACCCUUUGUGUCAGAGAAAUUGUGUUGUUGAGGUUGUUGCGCUGGGCAGAGCGGAAGAAGAAACUGCCAUUUCUGUUCUGGGCACAGAUAAAAACCAUAGAUGUUCCCUAUUCAUAGAGGAGAGGGAGAGCAUGGGUUACAGACAAUCAUUAUUACCUCUACUACAACAGCAAUUGAAUGUCCAACGAAAGGUCCCUUAAUGUCUUGUCUUUGGGAAGAAGUCCAAAAAGUUAUAAUUAUGUGGUUAUGGGUUCACCUUGUUUUUCUGAUUGUGUGUGUGCGCAUGUGUUACCUCUGUCUCGUUGGCAGUCAGUCCUAGAGCAAUGUAUCCACUGGAGUCCCCAACGAGCUCAACUAACAGGUCUACUCCAUUAGGAGAAGAGGGGGCGGUGGUGACUAUGGAAGCGAAGAGGCAGCCUGUUUCUCCUGUAGGAUCACAUUGUUCUGGGGUCUCUACACACAGUUUAAUUAAUCCACAGCCUGUCCGUGUGAUAUGCACCUGUCAAACCACACACAGCAAAUCUAGUUCAAGUUAUGCACACACACACAUAAGUUAAUUUCAAAAUCUACAUUUGUGGGCUGUUGACUCAUUGACAUACCACUUUGACUUCUAAAAUCAUCUGACAAAUUUUGAUUUGGGAGUGAACUAUGACUUUAAGUUAGGAUCUGGGGCCGGAUUCACAAAAUGUUCUUAAGAAACGUAUUCUUAACUGCCAUUUUUUCCUUAACUAUAGACUUAAGAAGAAAAUUAAGCAAAGUUGCUAUUCCUCAAUAAAGUAAUUGGAAAUGUUCUUAAGGUUUUUCCUAAGUUUCUUCCUAAGAAAAAAGUUAAGAAGAAAUGGGAUUCUUGAAAAUAAUGCUUUAGGAUUUCUUAUUUGAAAUGUACUGAACUUUAGGACAGCUAAACCCUUGUCUUGAGACGACUAGAUACUUUUGUAAACAGCUGGUAUGUAAAUACAGCAAGAAAACAAAUUAAACGUGCAUUAUCUAGCUAGCUGGUGUUGCUGGAAAGAGUAGAUUGAGAACCUUACCUCCGUAUUAUUGGCAAACGAGAGAUGUCCGUUUCCACUAACACCUGGAGCCAGACAGCCCAUCACCAUAGAG
This 1189-nucleotide long non-coding RNA is filed under the name Salmo salar (Atlantic salmon). RNAcentral describes it as "lncRNA (ENSSSAG00000095868.1, ENSSSAG00020080693.1, ENSSSAG00075067090.1)". The record is from RNAcentral. Lineage: Eukaryota; Metazoa; Chordata; Actinopteri; Salmoniformes; Salmonidae.